This 431-nucleotide ribosomal RNA is filed under the name uncultured bacterium. RNAcentral describes it as "bacterial SSU rRNA". It matches the Rfam family "Bacterial small subunit ribosomal RNA", at positions 29 to 507 of the family's 1533-position model. The record is from RNAcentral.
AACGAACGCUGGCGGCAUGCCUAACACAUGCAAGUCGAACGAGACUUCGGUCUAGUGGCGGACGGGUGAGUAACGCGUAGGAACCUGCCAAGCAGUGGGGAAUAACAGCUGGAAACGGCUGCUAAUACCGCAUACGCCCUUUGGGGGAAAGAUUUAUCGCUGUUUGAGGGUCCUGCGUUCGAUUAGCUAGUUGGUGAGGUAACGGCCCACCAAGGCGACGAUCGAUAGCUGGUCUGAGAGGAUGAUCAGCCACACUGGGACUGAGACACGGCCCAGACUCCUACGGGAGGCAGCAGUGGGGAAUAUUGGACAAUGGGGGAAACCCUGAUCCAGCAAUGCCGCGUGCGUGAAGAAGGCCUUAGGGUUGUAAAGCGCUUUCACCUGUGAUGAUGAUGACAGUAGCAGGAGAAGAAGCCCCGGCUAACUCCGUG